AAUGUGUCUUGGCUAAGGUAUCUUGGCUAAGGUGUCUUGGCUAAUGUGUCUUGGCUAAGGUGUCUUGGCUAAGGUGUCUUGGCUAAUGUGUCUCGGCUAAUGUGUCUUGGCUAAUGUGUCUUGGCUAAGGUGUCUUGGCUUAGGUGUCUUGGCUAAGGUGUCUUGGCUAAUGUGUCUUGGCUAAGGUGUCAUGGCUAAUGUGUCUUGGCUAAGGUGUCUUGGCUAAUGUGUCUUGGCUAAUGUGUCUUGGCUAAGGUGUCUUGGCUAAGGUGUCUUGGCUAAUGUGUCUUGGCUAAUGUGUCUUGGCUAAUGUCUCUUGGCUAAGGUGUCUUGGCUAAGGUGUCUUGGCUAAGGUGUCUUGGCUAAUGUGUCUUGGCUAAUGUGUCUUGGCUAAGGUGUCUUGGCUAAUGUGUCUUGGCUAAGGUGUCUUGGCUUAGGUGUCUUGGCUAAGGUGUCUUAGCUAAUGUGUCUUGGCUAAGGUGUCUUGGCUAAGGUGUCUUGGCUUAGGUGUCUUGGCUAAUGUGUCUUGGCUAAUGUGUCUUGGCUAAUGUGUCUCGGCUAAGGUGUCUUGGCUAAGGUGUCUUGGCUAAGGUGUCUUGGCUAAGGUGUCUUGGCUAAGGUGUCUUGGCUAAUGUGUCUUGGUUAAUGUGUCUUGGCUAAAGUGUCUUGGCUAAGGUGUCUUGGCUAAGGUGUCUUGGCUAAUGUGUCUUGGCUAAUGUGUCUUGGCUAAUGUGUCUUGGCUAAGGUGUCUUGGCUAAGGUGUCUUGGCUAAGGUGUCUUGGCUAAUGUAUCUUGGCUAAGGUGUCUUGGCUUAGGUGUCUUGGCUAAUGUGUCUCGGCUAAUGUGUCU
Long non-coding RNA from Anopheles funestus (African malaria mosquito), 849 nucleotides. RefSeq lists it as uncharacterized. The transcript has 3 exons. The record is from RefSeq and is a predicted model, not a curated record. NCBI's taxonomy places the organism in Eukaryota, Metazoa, Arthropoda, Insecta, Diptera, Culicidae.